Molecule: ribosomal RNA, 458 nt
Filed under: uncultured bacterium
Lineage: Bacteria
Description: partial 16S ribosomal RNA
Rfam family: Bacterial small subunit ribosomal RNA
Source: RNAcentral
CCUACGGGUGGCAGCAGUGGGGAAUAUUGCACAAUGGGGGAAACCCUGAUGCAGCGACGCCGCGUGAGUGAAGAAGUAUUUCGGUAUGUAAAGCUCUAUCAGCAGGGAAGAAAUAGCGACCUUUGGGUCGCCAGACGGUACCUGAUUAAGGAGCCCCGGCUAACUACGUGCCAGCAGCCGCGCUAAUACGUAGGGGGCAGGCGUUAUCCGGAUUUACUUGGUGUAAAGGGAGCGUAAACGGCAGGGCAAGUCUGAAGUGAAAUGCCGGGGCUUAACCCCGGAACUGCUUUGGAAACUGUGGAGCUAGAGUGCAGGAGAGGUAAGUGGAAUUCCUGGUGUAGCGGUGAAAUGCGUAGAUAUUAGGAGGAACACCAGUGGCGAAGGCGGCUUACUGGACUGUAACUGACGUUGAGGCUCGAAAGCGUGGGGAGCAAACAGGAUUAGAUACCCUAGUAGUC